UAGGGAAUCUUCGGCAAUGGACGAAAGUCUGACCGAGCAACGCCGCGUGAGUGAAGAAGGUUUUCGGAUCGUAAAACUCUGUUGUUAGAGAAGAACAAGGACGUUAGUAACUGAACGUCCCCUGACGGUAUCUAACCAGAAAGCCACGGCUAACUACGUGCCAGCAGCCGCGGUAAUACGUAGGUGGCAAGCGUUGUCCGGAUUUAUUGGGCGUAAAGCGAGCGCAGGCGGUUUCUUAAGUCUGAUGUGAAAGCCCCCGGCUCAACCGGGGAGGGUCAUUGGAAACUGGGAGACUUGAGUGCAGAAGUGGAGAGUGGAAUUCCAUGUGUAGCGGUGAAAUGCGUAGAUAUAUGGAGGAAAACCAGUGGCGAAGGCGGCUCUCUGGUCUGUAACUGACGCUGAGGCUCGAAAGCGUGGGGAGCAAACAGG
This 429-nucleotide ribosomal RNA is filed under the name Gemmatimonadota bacterium. RNAcentral describes it as "Gemmatimonadetes bacterium partial 16S ribosomal RNA". It matches the Rfam family "Bacterial small subunit ribosomal RNA", at positions 355 to 776 of the family's 1533-position model. Lineage: Bacteria; Pseudomonadati; Gemmatimonadota. The record is from RNAcentral.